RNAcentral lists this transfer RNA (91 nucleotides) under Candidatus Bathyarchaeota archaeon ex4484_135. Its description in RNAcentral is "tRNA-OTHER". Lineage: Archaea; Thermoproteati; Candidatus Bathyarchaeota. The record is from RNAcentral.
GCGGGGCUUAAGAUCGCCCGCUGGGGGCCGGGCGAUUGGAGACCCCGUCCCCGUAGGGGGUUCGUGGGUUCAAAUCCCACCCCCCGCACCA